Long non-coding RNA from Orcinus orca (killer whale), 2677 nucleotides. RefSeq lists it as uncharacterized. The record is from RefSeq and is a predicted model, not a curated record. NCBI's taxonomy places the organism in Eukaryota, Metazoa, Chordata, Mammalia, Artiodactyla, Delphinidae. The transcript is spliced from 4 exons.
CUUUUUUAGAUUUCACAUAUAAGUGACAUCAUAUAUUUGUCUCUCUGUGUCUGACUUACGUCACUCAGUAUGACAGUCUCUAGGUCCAUCCAUGUUGCUGCAAAUGGCAUGAGUUUGUUCUUUUUUAUGGCUGAGUAAUAUUCCAUUGUAUAUCUGUGCCACAUCUUCUUUACUCAUUCCUCUGUUGAUGGACAUUUAAGUUGCUUCCAUGUCCUGGCUAUUGGAAAUAAUGCUUCAGUGAACAUUGGCAUGCAUGUAUCUUUUCAAAUUAUGGUUUUCUCUGGGUAUAUGCCUAGGAGUGGGAUGGCUGGGUCAUAUGGUAGUUCCAUCUUUAGUUUUUUAAGGAACCUCCAUGAACUUUCAUCUUUAAUUCGCUUGCAGCCUUUGGGUGGUCAAGGAGUAACUUCAGACGGAAGCCAGUGUCCCUGUUCCCUGCCAGCCUCCACCUGAGUCAGGGUCUCAGAAGUGCCCCGUCCUCUCACCUGCUCAGAACUGUGUCCUCCCUUGGCCAGGCCCCUGGCCUCCCAGGCUUAAGCCUCUCCCCAGGCCUAGCAUCUCCCUACAAAAUUGCUAGGGAGGCAGGGCCAGCUUUUCCCGCCUGUCUUUCAAACAUCACCUCUAGAACGGAGACUCUGUCCUUGGAAUACAACCACAGAUUUCUAAUAAGGCUGAAUUUUAAACACAGUUUUUGUAACAAUCCACUCACUUCUUAACUUUGUGUUAUCAAAUUAAAAAUACAUUGUCAAGAAUAUUCUUGCCAUUCUAAACCACAAAUUGGAUUGUUUUGUUUUUAAUCAUAGCAAGGAAAUUUACUCUGUGCAGUUGCAGCAUAUCUCUUUUUUAAACCUAUUUAUUUCCAUAGCAAAAAAAAAAAAAAAAGAAAAUUCCUUGUAAGGUUAAAUAUAGAAUUAACAUAUGACUCAGCGAUUCCAUUCCUAGGUAUGUGCCCAAAGAAUUGAAAACAGGAGCUCAAACGUGUACACCAUGGGGAACUCCCUGGCGGUCCAGUGGUUAGGACUCCAAGCUUCUACUGCCAGGGGGCAUGAGUUCAAUCCCUGGUCAAGGAACUAAAAUCCUGCAAGCCACAUGGCAUGGCCAAAAAAAUUAAAAUGUACACCAAGUUCAUAGCAAUAGCCAAAAGGUGGAAAUGACCCAACAAAUAAAAGGAUAAACAAAACGCAGAAUAUACAUACAAAUGGAUGAAAUUUUGACAUGUGCCACAACAUGGAUGGACCCUGAAAGCAACACUCUGCGUUAAAUAAGCCAGAUACAAUAGGACAAUAGUGUAUGAUUACACUUAUGUGAAAUAUCUAGGGUAGGCGAAUGCAUAGAGACAAAAAGUGGAUCGGAGGUUAACAGGGGCUGGAGGUUGUUACUUCAUUGGUAGAGUUUCUGUUCGGGUGAUAAAAAUGCUUGGAAUUAGACAGUGGUGAUGGUUGCCCAACACUGUGCAUGUAAUUAAUACCAUUGAAUUGCACACUUUAAAAUGGUUAAAGUAAUAAAUGUUCUGUGUGUUUUAGCACAAUUUUUUUUAAAUCAGGCUUUUUAUUAGUAUGACAGUUUUUGGCUACUAGAGCAAUUAUACAUCUUAUUGUCUCAUAUUUAAAGUCUUGGUAAUGAUAUUUAUUCCCAACAUAAAAAUCUAGUUUUCAAUGUCUUGUAGAACUUCGCCAACAUGACCAGCGUAACCAGUGCACACUGCCUGGAAAUGCCCUUCUCAGGCACAUGGGUCCAGAAAGAGUGGCAGACCUGGAGAAGCCUGGCCUUGUACCCAGCUCUCUGCUUCCUGCUUCUGCGACCCUGCAUGUCGCUUAUGAUCGCAAUGCAUCAGUUUCCAUAUGGGACACGGAGGAGCCACAGAAGUAUUUUCACCAAAGAUUUCUCUCAAGGCCCUGGAGAGCAUGGAUUAGAGAAAAGGAGAGGCACGUCCAACUGCGCGCUAAUUAAAGUGGUCCAGAAACUCCGGUAGAGACUGAGACCUAGGAUUUCCUCUCCUGCUUCCCCCCGCCCCUGCUGUUGCCUCCUGACCAAACCUGGUGCUCCUCCUGCGGCCCUGAGUGGCAUGGUGAGCCCUCUUCUCUUGGGAAAUAUGAGAAGCAUGAAGUGAUACCUGUGUACCCUGUUGAACAAAUUUUCCAGCUGCGCUGCACAGGCAGAUGUAGGAACAAAAACAGGUAGAAGGUAGGACUGAUUCACAGCUGUGUAGCUGUUGGUUGAAAGGGAGGAAAAGGACAAGGAAGUAAAAAACGUAAGGGUUUAUUCAUUUACUCAACAAAUUGUGUAAAUUUGUUCAAAAUUGAAAAAUUAAUUCAAAGGACGACUCAGGAGAUCUAGAGUGGUGCUGUCCCUAGAUCUUUCUGCUAUAAUGGAAAUGUUCUAGAAUUUGCACUGUUCACACUAUUUAUAAUAGCCAAGACAUGGAAACAACCUAAAUGUCCAUUGAUAGAUGAAUGGAUAAAGAAGAUUUGGUACAUAUAUACAAUGGAAUAUUACACAGCCAUAAAAAAGAAUGAAAUAAUGCCAUUUGCAGCAACAUGGAUGGACCUAAAGAUUAUCAUACUAAGUGAAAUUAGUCAGACAAAGACAUGAUAUCACUCAUAUGUGGAAUCUAAAAUGACACAAAUGAACUUAUCUAUGAAACAGAAACAGACUCACAGAUAUACAGAACAGACUUGUG